GGGACCAUAGUUCAAUUGGUGUGAACGCUGCCUGUUACGGUAGAGCUUACUGGUUCGAAUCCAGUUGGUCCCGCAA
This 76-nucleotide transfer RNA is filed under the name Candidatus Veblenbacteria bacterium RIFOXYA2_FULL_43_9. RNAcentral describes it as "tRNA-OTHER". It matches the Rfam family "tRNA". Rfam says of the family: Transfer RNA (tRNA) molecules are approximately 80 nucleotides in length. Their secondary structure includes four short double-helical elements and three loops (D, anti-codon, and T loops). Further hydrogen bonds mediate the characteristic L-shaped molecular structure. tRNAs have two regions of fundamental functional importance: the anti-codon, which is responsible for specific mRNA codon recognition, and the 3' end, to which the tRNAs corresponding amino acid is attached (by aminoacyl-tRNA synthetases). tRNAs cope with the degeneracy of the genetic code in two manners: having more than one tRNA (with a specific anti-codon) for a particular amino acid; and 'wobble' base-pairing, i.e. permitting non-standard base-pairing at the 3rd anti-codon position. Lineage: Bacteria; Candidatus Vebleniibacteriota. RNAcentral also lists the same sequence under 2 other names. The record is from RNAcentral.